RNAcentral lists this ribosomal RNA (484 nucleotides) under uncultured bacterium. Its description in RNAcentral is "partial 16S ribosomal RNA". It matches the Rfam family "Bacterial small subunit ribosomal RNA", at positions 30 to 507 of the family's 1533-position model. The record is from RNAcentral.
AUUGAACGCUGGCGGCAGGCCUAACACAUGCAAGUCGAGCGGAUGAAGGGAGCUUGCUCCUGGAUUCAGCGGCGGCCGGGUGAGUAAUGCCUAGGAAUCUGCCUGUUAGUUGGGGCUAACGUCCGGAAACGGGCGCUAAUACCGCAUACGUCCUGAGGGAGAAAGUGGGGGAUCUUCGGACCUCACGCUAUCAGAUGAGCCUAGGUCGGAUUAGCUAGUUGGUGGGGUAAAGGCCUACCAAGGCGACGAUCCGUAACUGGUCUGAGAGGAUGAUCAGUCACACUGGAACUGAGACACGGUCCAGACUCCUACGGGAGGCAGCAGUGGGGAAUAUUGGACAAUGGGCGAAAGCCUGAUCCAGCCAUGCCGCGUGUGUGAAGAAGGUCUUCGGAUUGUAAAGCACUUUAAGUUGGGAGGAAGGGCAGUAAGUUAAUACCUUGCUGUUUUGACGUUACCAACAGAAUAAGCACCGGCUAACUUCGUG